AGUCUUAUAUUCAAUAAUGGUAUGAAAUUGCAAAUUUUAAGGUGUAAAUUAUACUAAGGCUU
RNAcentral lists this transfer RNA (62 nucleotides) under Junonia orithya. RNAcentral describes it as "tRNA-Cys". The record is from RNAcentral. Lineage: Eukaryota; Metazoa; Arthropoda; Insecta; Lepidoptera; Nymphalidae.